This 214-nucleotide non-coding RNA is filed under the name Acetobacter indonesiensis. Lineage: Bacteria; Pseudomonadati; Pseudomonadota; Alphaproteobacteria; Acetobacterales; Acetobacteraceae. The record is from RNAcentral.
GUGCCAUGACUUGUCACCAGCCCCGUGCGAACGGGUUAAAAGGGAAGGCCGUGCCCCACACUGGUGUGGGAAGUCGGCCGCUGCGCCCGCAACUGUAGGCGGUAGGUGUGCGUCUGUCUGUUGUAAUACAGGCCACUGACAGUGCAUGUCGGGAAGGCAGGACGCACAGCGAUAAUCCGCAAGCCAGGAGACCUGCUGUUGUCGUCAGACCAUG